GAUGAAGAACGUAGCGAAAUGCGAUAAGUAAUGUGAAUUGCAGAAUUCAGUGAACCAUCGAAUCUUUGAACGCACAUUGCGCCCGGCAGUAAUCUGCCGGGCAUGCCUGUCCGAGCGUCAUUUCUGCCCUCGAGCCUGUCCAGCAUCUAGGUGCUGUUCCGGCCCGGCGUUGGGGCACUACGGGAAGCCUCGUGCUUUCCCCCGUAGGCCCCGAAAUGAAGUGGCGGUCCUGCCGCGGCUCCCCCUGCGUAGUAUUACAGCUCGCUUCGGGACCCGGUGGAGGCCUGCCGUCAAACCUUCUCUCUAAGUUUGACCUCGGAUCAGGUAGGGUUACCCGCUGAACUUAAGCAUAUCAAUAAGCGGAGGA
RNAcentral lists this unclassified non-coding RNA (367 nucleotides) under soil metagenome. Its description in RNAcentral is "partial contains 5.8S ribosomal RNA, internal transcribed spacer 2, and large subunit ribosomal RNA". The stretch from base 1 to 120 matches the Rfam family "5.8S ribosomal RNA", at positions 35 to 154 of the family's 154-position model. The record is from RNAcentral.